RNAcentral lists this ribosomal RNA (973 nucleotides) under Sarcophaga cf. novercoides EB-2016. RNAcentral describes it as "eukaryotic LSU rRNA". It matches the Rfam family "Eukaryotic large subunit ribosomal RNA", at positions 122 to 920 of the family's 3401-position model. Lineage: Eukaryota; Metazoa; Arthropoda; Insecta; Diptera; Sarcophagidae. The record is from RNAcentral.
CUUUGUCUUUAUGGCAAAUGUGAGAUGCAGUGUAUGGAAUGUCAAAUUUCUAGUAUGAGAAAUUAACGAUUUAAGUCCUUCUUAAAUGAGGCCAUUUACCCAUAGAGGGUGCCAGGCCCGUAUAACGUUAAUGAUUACUAGAUGGCAUUUCCAAAGAGUCGUGUUGCUUGAUAGUGCAGCACUAAGUGGGUGGUAAACUCCAUCUAAAACUAAAUAUAACCAUGAGACCGAUAGUAAACAAGUACCGUGAGGGAAAGUUGAAAAGAACUCUGAAUAGAGAGUUAAAUAGUACGUGAAACUGCUUAGAGGUUAAGCCCGAUGAACCUGAAUAUCCAUUAUAGAAAAUUCAUCAUUAUGAUUUUAAUAUUAAUAAUAUUAUAAUAAUGGUGUGCAUUUUUUCUAUAACGGACAUUGUAAUCUAUUAACAUAAAUAUAUUUAUCAUAAGAUCAAUGAUGCGUAAGUUUAUUCAAAUUAUUUUGCUUGCAAUUUAACAUAGAAUAAAUGCUCUUGAUUUGAUAAAGUGUUGAUAGAUUUAUUGUAUAUAGUGCUUAAAUAUUUAUAUUUUAUAAUAGCAUAUUAAUCAUUGAUUUUUAUGUUUAUUAUAUGCACUUAUAUGAUUAACAAUGCGAAAGAUUCAGGAUACCUUCGGGACCCGUCUUGAAACACGGACCAAGGAGUCUAACAUAUUUGCAAGUUAUUGGGUAUCAAAACCUAAUAGCGAAAUUAACAUAACUUUAAUGGGAUUAGUUUUUAGAUUAUUUAUAGUCUAUUAAUUCAAUCCCGGGGCGUUCUAUACAGUUAUGUAUAAUAAUAUUUAUAUUAUUUAUACCUCUAACUAGAGCGUACCUUGAGCAUAUAUGCUGUGACCCGAAAGAUGGUGAACUAUACUUGAUCAGGUUGAAGUCAGGGGAAACCCUGAUGGAAGACCGAAACAGUUCUGACGUGCAAAUCGAUUGUCAGAAUUGAGUAUAG